This is a long non-coding RNA of Homo sapiens (human), 1993 nucleotides long. RefSeq lists it as uncharacterized. The record is from RefSeq and is a predicted model, not a curated record. NCBI's taxonomy places the organism in Eukaryota, Metazoa, Chordata, Mammalia, Primates, Hominidae. The transcript is spliced from 3 exons.
UCAUAAUGUUUUAAGAAACUUUACAGAUUUAUGCUGGGCCGCAUGUGGCCAUGUGGCCUACAGGCCUCGAGCUGGACAAGCUUGCUCUAGAUGUUGGUUGUUCAUUGGAAACACUGAGUCUUGCUGUUUUCUCUGUACUCUGAAUAAUAUGGCUAACCCUGGAGGUAGAGAUUCACACUCCAAGGCCUCCACAUGCCCUUCUGUGGAAGGGGCUCAGGCAGUUGAACCUGGGUAUACCCUGGGCAGUGACCCACACAUCCUGUUACAUCUUCCUCAAGAGGCCAUUCACAUGCCACCUCCUCGCAGACCACACAUGCUCCCCUAUGCAGACUCAUCACUGUCUCAUUAAGGUGGUAGAGGCCCUCGGCAUAGCAUGGAGGCUAUCAGGCCAGGUCCUAACCUAGACAGCCAGGAACAAAUCUUUGGUCCAAAGCUAGAUGGCUACAUGAUCUUGGGCAGGUGACUUAAUAUCCCUGUGUCACUGGGUCCUGAUCCAUAAGAGGGAGAGGAUGGCAAGGGCUGAAGUGCAGAUCUGCCAAGGCAGCACCCAUGAUGCCCUCCUCCCAGGGGUUGGCACAUGGGUGGUGUUCAGGUAAUGUCAGUUUCAACUCUUGCUACUGAGGGCAGAUUCGACCUCGCAUACCGGCUGCUCCAAAACAUGUCACUAACGCUCCACUGGUAUUUUCUAAAAGUCAGUCUUUCUUAGGCCAGUUAUAGACAGGAUUGUUUUCCAAGUAGCCUCCUGCCCUUUGGGAUUGAAAUUCAUUAUAAACCUGGCAGACACUCACCUGCUCAGUCCAUGCUGGGGAAAAGAAUCUUAGCAGAAGUUUCCUAAUUAAAGCUACCAGAGUCAGAUAAAGCCAGGAAAAUGGUUACAGGUUAAACGAUGGGAUUAAACAGUGAAGAGUGCCAGAGCGGAGGAAGAACUACAAAGAAACUGCAAUGAUGCUUCUUCCAAUGUGUUGUCCAGGAUGUCCAGUGAAUGUCCUCCACCUCUGAGCCAUAUGGCCAAAGUUACGUGGCUGAGUAGGGCUCAUGGACGUGUUUCAUCUGACAGAGCCUCUCAAGCUUCCAGCUCCAGUUGCACUGGACACCCUCACAGCCCUUCUGCAGAGCUGGGAAUGGCCAAAUCCUGCAGGCCCACUCAUGUCCCUGCAAGAAUCCUGAUGUUGGGAGAGAAAGCAUGCAUGUUCCCUCCUUUGCUGCUCCCCAAACGAAAGGCCACCUGCAGCCUUAUAUUUGCAAGAAACUCAUGCUGAGCAUCUGAGCCUAGGAAGACACAGAGUCCUGUCCUCCAACAGCCAGCUCUCAGGCCUUCUCGAACCUCUCCCUUCCCUGCCAGAUGUGACCUUGUACUCUGGAUGCCUGUGGUUUGGCUUUCUCCUCCUCACAAACAUGGAUGCUGUCCUUCUAGCAGAGGGAUUGAUGUGUUUAUGCAUGUAUCAUACCUUCCCCUCUGAGGAUGGGGGCAUGCCUUGCCCAAAGCACCCAGCCAGGGCUGAGCACAGGGACUCAACUAGGAGGAUUUUUGCUGACUGAUAAGUCCCCACUGGACAGGUCUGAGGGUUCUCCCCAAACCAUGCACUCUGGCAGUGGGCUAGUCUGACCACCUCCCCCGCCGUGUGUGUGAGACCCGCUGGUGGGCACUGUACACAGCAUGGACGUGGAAGACAAGCCUGGAAGUGAUGACUCUGCUGGAGUGAGCAGCACCACAACACAGAGCAGAUCGCUGGAGGGAAAGAUCACCUGGGGCGGCACUCCAGGGUGGAGUCAGGAGGACAUGGAGUUUUGGAGGCACACAGACAGCCCCGGAAGGCAAAAGUGUUCAUCAAGCAACCUCUGACUCAAGGAUAUCCCUGGACCACACCCCUGGGAGUGAGUGCACCAGGGAGUCACAUUAAUCCCAUAAACCCUGUUGUUGUCCUGUGACUGGCACCAUUCAUGCAUGGCAGUUUUAUACAUUAAAAAUGUCUAUGUUUUGGAGCCAAGUGAA